Molecule: small nuclear RNA, 126 nt
Organism: Phyllostomus discolor (pale spear-nosed bat)
Lineage: Eukaryota; Metazoa; Chordata; Mammalia; Chiroptera; Phyllostomidae
Product: U4atac minor spliceosomal RNA
Exons: 1
Source: RefSeq, a predicted model, not a curated record
ACCAUCUUUUCCUUGGGGUUGUACUACUAUCCUCUGAGCAUGUAGUGAGAGCAGUACAGCUAGUGCCUAAACAGCACACUCCCAUCAACUAGAGCUCUGCUUUAUUUUGGUGUAGUUUUAGGAAAA